GCCGACGCCGCCGGCCUCCAACUGCUUGCCAAGCCCCGAACCCCGAGCUCCCUUUGACACUUGCUCCCGAGCCUCGAGGUCCCUCCCUCCCGACCCCCUCUCCCCACUCCCUGCUUCCUCCAAUCCCCUGAGAUCCGGUGUCGCCUCCGCUCCCAUUGCAGGCCUCCACCAGGCGGGUGUCCUCUGGCUUCAGCACGGUGCAGAGACCACCUCCACCCCCGCUCUCGGCCUCUGCGUUGCGGAGACCGCCUCGACACGCUUGCUCCCAGCCCUCCAUCCACCGGUGGCGCUGGUGCCCUCCACCGAACCCUAAAACCGUGGUUAGGCCACCGAUUUGACAGGCUACCUGGUCGUCGCCGCGACGCCGCCGCCACCUCCGCUCCUAGCCUCUCCUGGUGGGCGUCAGGUCAUCACCAUCAACGCCAACCUCAACAUCUACAAGUUCUUCGUGAGUCCUAGCACCAGCCCGCCCUCUCUCAUGAGUCGUCUUGCAAUCUGGGUACAGUGCAGUGCUGAGGAUUGUGUAUUGCCGCUGGGUUGGAUUUCUUCGAUGAUGGGUGAUGUGUCCUGGGCAGUGUUACCCGUUUCAAAUUUGGUGCUAUAGCAUAUGUGCGUGAUUUCUGUAUAUUAUAUUACUGUUGUGGGUAGCAGAAUCAGUUCAGUGCUGAACCUAGAUGCUCCUUUGUAAGCAUGUUUUUUUUGAGAAAAGUGAACCAUGCUAAAAAAUUGUUUUCAAAAUCAUGCUAACUGAAUGUACAGUUAUGGCUUGAAAACAUAAUCUAUUCGUCAGGCUUGAAAUAGCUCACUGAUUUAUGGGUUGAAACAGCUGCCUCAGCACAUGCUUUGCUUAGUGAAACUGAUUUCUUCUGUACCGUAUUUGGCAUUAGUUAUCUGCUGUACCGGGAACCAAUUCAACUGCUCCAGUGUACACUGCCUCCAAUUAAAGCUAUUGUGAAUUGUUUGCACAAGGUAGUUAACUGUCUCAGACUUGUUCUUUACUGCACUAUGAAUAACUAAAGGAUGGAAUCCAUAGGUGAAGGUAUGGAUUUUUCUUUUACAGUAUGCAGUACCCCAUUGCAUGAUAAAACUGUAGGAGUACGACAAUUGCAAAAACUUAAUGUAGAUGCUACUUGUUCUCAUGCAAAGCUGAAAACAGAUGCUAUUCCUAUCUCUAUUAUUUAUAGUACCAUCUUCUUGCCAAUCAGGAUCAGUUAUAUGAGUUGACUUAGGGGUCUGAUAUUAACAUGCUAGAACCCUCCUUAUUUCCCUUUCUUGUUAAGUCCUAUAUUGACAUGAUGUUGGAGUCAUAAUAUGAUACUUAGUUGUGAUCCCUAUAGUUCCCUUAUAUUGUGUGCCUGUGAUUUGUGCGAACUAAAUUUAAUGCCAUAAUAUUUUAUUUGUGUAGCCCCCUGUCCGUUUGCUACAAUUUUUUUUUGUUGCAGUGCUGCUGCUAGAGGAGAAAAGUAAGGAGGAGAAGGAAUGAUUAAUAUCAACUAAAAUGUUUACCCACCGAUGAUUCACAACCUAUGAAUGCUCCCCCCGCUCGCACGCUACUCCGUCAUGCAAUGACUCACUCCCUGCAAGUGGACCCGGAAUGAUGUUUCCCAAAAACUACACUGAGUCCAUCAUCAUUGCACAUUGCUCAAACAGGUUCUUUAUUUUGACGAAGUGGGAGGAGGCUCAAUCAGUGUCUUCAUCGAUUCAAACCAGCAGCACUCGCUUCAUUAAUCCAGUGAGAUGGAGAACCAAAUGAAAGAAGGAUUAGCACAAUCUGAGAUUAUGUCAUCCAGUGCACAUACCAAAAGGUAACACACUCAGCAUUCUCCUCUUUUUGUAUAGAAUGGUAACACUCAUACGACUGAACUCAAGGUGUUGAAAAGCUAAACGCAACAGUGCAGUAAUGACUACAAAUGAAAUGGUCUUUGUGAUUAAGGAAAUGAAAGCAGCGAUGUUGUGUAUGGUCAAAUUCAGAAAGUCCACAUGAUGAUAACCCAUUGAUUAGAAGAAGGGAUAUCUUUUCUAUUACGAUAAGUAAUAUUGGCAAGUUUGUGCAUGACUGUAUCUUGAUUUGCAUGGUCAUGUAGACAAUGCAUAUGUGCAGGGCCGACAUGGCAUGGGCCGAAGGCAAUGCUGGCUCCAAGAAUGAGAUUUCAGUUCUCUCGGGGAUGCCAGUGGCAAUGUCAUCUCUGUUGAACAAUUUACCUGAACAUCUUGUUAGAUUUUUCAGUACCAUUAUCUAAGAUUAUGCCACUAAAAACUGAUAUCCUGUUCUAGAGCAAUGUAACAAUUUCACAUUUUAUUUGGUUUAGUCUGUAGGUUUUUUUUUCUGUGAUGAUAACCCUGAAGGUAUUGAGGCACAUAAUGAGUUUCAAGGUCCAACUCUUUCAGUUCAUCUUGCAACAGAUUUUAUGAAGCUGGUUUUCCUCCAUGAUUAAUUCAGAAAACAGGGUUAGGAUGGUCGAACAAAGGCUCCGAAUGGACUUUGUAGGGGAAUUCUAGGCGAAUUUCAACUCAUGUAAAGUCACAAGACUAUCUUAAGGGUACCAUAGACAAUGGCUGGUAGUAGAUAGUCGUAAUAGCAAGGUUGUUACAGUACGAAGUACAUUGUUUUGAUUUUACAUCAAAAACUUAAUUCUAUUCUACUUAUGCUUUGAGAAAACUCAUGUAAUAGUGAUGAUCAUUGUUGCAAACGUCGUCCUUAAAGUAUUAUUUUUUAUGGUAAG
Molecule: long non-coding RNA, 2723 nt
Organism: Sorghum bicolor (sorghum)
Lineage: Eukaryota; Viridiplantae; Streptophyta; Magnoliopsida; Poales; Poaceae
Exons: 4
Source: RefSeq, a predicted model, not a curated record